Molecule: ribosomal RNA, 607 nt
Filed under: gamma proteobacterium WD196
Lineage: Bacteria; Pseudomonadati; Pseudomonadota; Gammaproteobacteria
Description: bacterial SSU rRNA
Rfam family: Bacterial small subunit ribosomal RNA
Source: RNAcentral
CGCGUGGGUGAAGAAGGCCUUCGGGUUGUAAAGCCCUUUUGUUGGGAAAGAAAUCCAGCUGGCUAAUACCCGGUUGGGAUGACGGUACCCAAAGAAUAAGCACCGGCUAACUUCGUGCCAGCAGCCGCGGUAAUACGAAGGGUGCAAGCGUUACUCGGAAUUACUGGGCGUAAAGCGUGCGUAGGUGGUCGUUUAAGUCCGUUGUGAAAGCCCUGGGCUCAACCUGGGAACUGCAGUGGAUACUGGGCGACUAGAGUGUGGUAGAGGGUAGCGGAAUUCCUGGUGUAGCAGUGAAAUGCGUAGAGAUCAGGAGGAACAUCCAUGGCGAAGGCAGCUACCUGGACCAACACUGACACUGAGGCACGAAAGCGUGGGGAGCAAACAGGAUUAGAUACCCUGGUAGUCCACGCCCUAAACGAUGCGAACUGGAUGUUGGGUGCAAUUUGGCACGCAGUAUCGAAGCUAACGCGUUAAGUUCGCCGCCUGGGGAGUACGGUCGCAAGACUGAAACUCANAGGAAUUGACGGGGGCCCGCACAAGCGGUGGANUAUGUGGUUUAAUUCGAUGCAACGCGAAGAACCUUACCUGGNCUUGACAUGUCNAGAAC